CCUACGGGAGGCAGCAGUGAGGAAUAUUGGUCAAUGGGCGCUAGCCUGAACCAGCCAAGUCGCGUGAAGGAUGACGGUCCUAUGGGUUGUAAACCUCUUUUAUCUGGGAAUAAAGUGCGGUACGUAUACCGCUUCGCAUGUACCCGAUGAAUAAGGAUCGGCUAACUCCGUGCCAGCAGCCGCGGUAAUACGGAGGAUCCGAGCGUUAUCCGGAUUUAUUGGGUUUAAAGGGAGCGCAGGCGGGUUGUUAAGUCAGUUGUGAAAGUUUGCGGCUCAACCGUAACAAUGCCGUUGAUACUGGCAUGCUUGAGUGCAGUAGAAGUAGGCGGAAUGCGUGGUGUAGCGGUGAAAUGCAUAGAUAUCACGAAGAACUCCGAUUGCGAAGGCAGCCUGCUGGAGUGUAACUGACGCUGAUGCACGAAAGUGUGGGUAUCGAACAGGAUUAGAUACCCGAGUAGUC
RNAcentral lists this ribosomal RNA (460 nucleotides) under uncultured bacterium. RNAcentral's name for it is "partial 16S ribosomal RNA". It matches the Rfam family "Bacterial small subunit ribosomal RNA", at positions 338 to 795 of the family's 1533-position model. The record is from RNAcentral.